RNAcentral lists this unclassified non-coding RNA (334 nucleotides) under uncultured Glomerales. RNAcentral's name for it is "sequence contains 18S rRNA gene". RNAcentral also lists the same sequence under 1 other name. Lineage: Eukaryota; Fungi; Glomeromycota; Glomeromycetes; Glomerales; Glomeraceae. The record is from RNAcentral.
CCCAACUAUCCCUAUUAAUCAUUACGUCAAUCCUAGAAACCAACAAAAUAGGUUCGAUCGUCCUAUUUCAUUAUUCCAUGCUAAUGUAUUCAAGCGUUUGCUUGCUUUAAACACUCUAAUUUUUUCAAAGUAACAGUCCUGUUUCCCUGCAACACCAAAUUAAUGGCAUCACAGUUCCUCAAGAAGGAGGAAUCAGUAGGGCCAGUACAUACCAGUGGCACGACCGACCCACUGAUCCCGAAAUUCAACUACGAGCUUUUUAACUGCAACAACUUUAAUAUACGCUAUUGGAGCUGGAAUUACCGCGGCUGCUGGCACCAGACUUGCCCUCCAA